Molecule: ribosomal RNA, 253 nt
Filed under: uncultured bacterium
Lineage: Bacteria
Description: partial 16S ribosomal RNA
Rfam family: Bacterial small subunit ribosomal RNA
Source: RNAcentral
UACAGAGGGUGCGAGCGUUAAUCGGAAUUACUGGGCGUAAAGCGUGCGCAGGCGGCUUUGCAAGACAGAUGUGAAAUCCCCGGGCUUAACCUGGGAACUGCAUUUGUGACUGCAUGGCUAGAGUGCGGCAGAGGGGGAUGGAAUUCCGCGUGUAGCAGUGAAAUGCGUAGAUAUGCGGAGGAACACCGAUGGCGAAGGCAAUCCCCUGGGCCUGCACUGACGCUCAUGCACGAAAGCGUGGGGAGCAAACAGG